UCCUACGGGGGGCAGCAGUGGGGAAUCUUAGACAAUGGGCGCAAGCCUGAUCUAGCCAUGCCGCGUGAGCGAUGAAGGCCUUAGGGUUGUAAAGCUCUUUCGUGGGGGAAGAUAAUGACUGUACCCCAAGAAGAAGCCCCGGCUCACUCCGUGCCAGCAGCCGCGGUAAUACGGAGGGGGCUAGCGUUGUUCGGAAUUACUGGGCGUAAAGCGCACGUAGGCGGACUGGAAAGUCAGGGGUGAAAUCCCGGGGCUCAACCCCGGAACUGCCUUUGAAACUCCCAGUCGUGAGUUCGAGAGAGGUGAGUGGAAUUCCGAGUGUAGAGGUGAAAUUCGUAGAUAUUCGGAGGAACACCAGUGGCGAAGGCGGCUCACUGGCUCGAUACUGACGCUGAGGUGCGAAAGCGUGGGGAGCAAACAGGAUUAGAUACCCGUGUAGUCC
RNAcentral lists this ribosomal RNA (442 nucleotides) under uncultured Rhodobacter sp. RNAcentral describes it as "bacterial SSU rRNA". It matches the Rfam family "Bacterial small subunit ribosomal RNA", at positions 337 to 796 of the family's 1533-position model. Lineage: Bacteria; Pseudomonadati; Pseudomonadota; Alphaproteobacteria; Rhodobacterales. The record is from RNAcentral.